AAACAAUAAAAUACCCAAAUACACAAGAAAAUGACAUAGAAUUUAGAAACCGCCCGAAAAAGGAACAGUCACUCAACCAGCAGUGUCCGAUGUAGCUUGAGAACAUUUUAAAUAAUUGUUACAGACUGAUAGUUUUGCUGUAAUGUAACUUUCAAGUAAAUUAAUUCAUUCUCACCAGAACUCCCAUUGUAAUAGUCACCCAACGAGCACGCCCAUUUUCUUCCAUUUUCCGAUCAAAGGAAAACCUUCCGUCAAUUCUCGGUGGCUAGAGGCAAAAAUCACCUCGAGAAAAAAAAUAAAAAAAGCCGCCCAUGUAAACCCGGCAUCGCCAAGACCAUGAGCCAGAAUAAAGCCCACAGACCACGCCAUGACCCAGCCAAGUAACCCGAGGAAGACAUGAAGAGGAACCCGAAGGCGAACCCGAAGGCGAACCCGGAGGCCCUUUUGACACCCUCGGCUCUGGCUGCCAGAUGACCGCUCUUCAGCACCAUCACUAAACCUGGAAAUUUCGAGGAGAACCGUCCACUCAUUCACGCCAGGAAUCCAUCGCCAUCUCCACCACCCACACCUCCCCCAACGCCGCCACCAACACCUCCACCGACACCACCUCCAACGCCGCCACCAACGCCUCCACCCUCCCCUCCCCCUGUACCUCCAUAAUGUUGGAAGUGACUUGUAAUGAUCGGCUGGGUAAAAAAGUGCGUGUCAAGUGCAACCCAGAUGACACAAUUGGUGACUUGAAGAAGUUAAUUGCUGCACAAACGGGGACACGCUGGGACAAGAUUGUGCUGAAGAAGUGGUACACGAUUUUCAAGGACCACAUCACAAUAGCCGACUACGAGAUUCAUGAUGGCAUGAACCUUGAACUGUAUUAUCAGUAAAACAUGUAAUAGAUGCCUUCAUAUAUAUUUUUUCUUUUCUUUUUUUUCCCCCCCUUUUUUGUAUAAUAUAUAAAGAUUAUGCAAGUUAUGCAUAACUUGGUUGUUGAUUCUAUUGCAUCAUUCAUACCUAAUGGUUGAGAUCCAUAUUUCCUGUAUUUGAAUGAUAUGUGUGUCCCGGGUCCUGUAUUAUACUUCUCAUCUCUUUCAUGCCCCUCUAAGUAUGCUCUGGUUUUUAUCACAAAGGAAGUUAUAUUUUUUUUGUCCAAGAGAAGACAGGAGGAUUACUAUGAUCAUCAUUAGUUAUCUCAGGUGGCAGUCUGCAGAGACCUUACUUACCUGCACUGGAAUGUUUGAGUCCUUGAGUCUUAUUUUCACCUGAUUGGAUCUGUAUUGUCGAGUUUGUAAUAAAUAUUGGAAAUGUAA
Molecule: long non-coding RNA, 1304 nt
Organism: Penaeus monodon (black tiger shrimp)
Lineage: Eukaryota; Metazoa; Arthropoda; Malacostraca; Decapoda; Penaeidae
Exons: 2
Source: RefSeq, a predicted model, not a curated record